UAGUUUGUUUGAUGGUAACUA
This 21-nucleotide non-coding RNA is filed under the name Arabidopsis thaliana (thale cress). The record is from RNAcentral. Lineage: Eukaryota; Viridiplantae; Streptophyta; Magnoliopsida; Brassicales; Brassicaceae.